UACAGAGGUCUCAAGCGUUGUUCGGAUUCAUUGGGCGUAAAGGGUGUGUAGGUGGCGCGCUAAGUCGGGUGUUAAACCCCCAGGCUCAACCUGGGGACGCCACUCGAUACUGCUGUGACUAGAGUCCGGUAGGGGAGACUGGAAUUCCUGGUGUAGCGGUGAAAUGCGCAGAUAUCUGGAGGAACACCUGUGGUGUAGACAGCUUACUGGACCACUUCUGACGCUGAGACACGAAAGCGUGGGUAGCAAACAGG
RNAcentral lists this ribosomal RNA (254 nucleotides) under uncultured bacterium. Its description in RNAcentral is "partial 16S ribosomal RNA". It matches the Rfam family "Bacterial small subunit ribosomal RNA", at positions 524 to 776 of the family's 1533-position model. The record is from RNAcentral.